AAAAAAUAUGCAAUAGGCAAUGUCCAUG
This 28-nucleotide small RNA is filed under the name Bombyx mori (domestic silkworm). Its description in RNAcentral is "ovarian small RNA-9825". The record is from RNAcentral. Lineage: Eukaryota; Metazoa; Arthropoda; Insecta; Lepidoptera; Bombycidae.